This 348-nucleotide unclassified non-coding RNA is filed under the name soil metagenome. Its description in RNAcentral is "partial contains 5.8S ribosomal RNA, internal transcribed spacer 2, and large subunit ribosomal RNA". The stretch from base 1 to 120 matches the Rfam family "5.8S ribosomal RNA", at positions 35 to 154 of the family's 154-position model. The record is from RNAcentral.
GAUGAAGAACGUAGCAAAAUGCGAUAAGUAAUGUGAAUUGCAGAAUUCAGUGAAUCAUCGAAUCUUUGAACGCACAUUGCGCCCGCUGGUAUUCCGGCGGGCAUGCCUGUUCGAGCGUCAUUUCAACCCUCAAGCCCCCGGGUUUGGUGUUGGGGAUCGGCUCUGCCCUUCUGGGCGGUGCCGCCCCCGAAAUACAUUGGCGGUCUCGCUGCAGCCUCCAUUGCGUAGUAGCUAACACCUCGCAACAGGAACGCGGCGCGGCCAUGCCGUAAAACCCCAACUUCUGAAUGUUGACCUCGGAUCAGGUAGGAAUACCCGCUGAACUUAAGCAUAUCAAUAAGCGGAGGA